Molecule: long non-coding RNA, 574 nt
Filed under: Homo sapiens (human)
Lineage: Eukaryota; Metazoa; Chordata; Mammalia; Primates; Hominidae
Description: HSALNT0266224
Source: RNAcentral
CAGAGAUGAGGUUUCACUAUAUUGCACAGGCUGGUCUUGAACUGCUGGCCUUAAGCAAUCCUCCUGCCUUGGCCUCCCAAAGUGCUGGAGUUACAGAUGUGAGCCUCUGUGCUCAGCCCAUCCUUGGCUGUUCAAGUGUAGAGGCCACAGUCAAUUCAGGACAUUUUAACCAUGAAAAUGAGUCUCCAUAACACGAAUUUAGAGGCCAGACAGAGUGGAUCACGCCAGCAAUCCCAGCAUUCUGUGAGGCUGAAGUGGGGGAAUGGCUUGAGCUUAGGAGCUUCAGACCAGCCUGGGCAACAUGGUGAAACCCUGUCUCUAAAAUAAAUAAAUAAAUAAAUAAAAAUAAGCCAUGUAUGGUGGUGCAUGCUACUAGUCCCAGCUACUCAGGAGGCUGAGGUGGGAGGAUUGUGGGGCCAAGGAGGUCAAGUAUGGAGUGGGCCAAGAUCAUGCCACUGCAAUGCAGCCUGGGUAAUGGAGUGAGACCUUAUAGCAAGAAAAAGAAAAAGAUUUAAAGGACAGGCUGACUGUCUUGUUACAAGCCAAUGCUCAUUUGUUAUUCCAUAAAUCCUAG